Molecule: small nucleolar RNA, 130 nt
Organism: Paramormyrops kingsleyae
Lineage: Eukaryota; Metazoa; Chordata; Actinopteri; Osteoglossiformes; Mormyridae
Source: Ensembl
CUGCACAUUUCACUUCCUGGUUCUCUCUACUAUAAGAACUAAGGUAUGUCUGACGUGCUAGAGUAAGUCUGAAGGUAAAUUAGCAGAGUGGUGACACUGUGCCAACCUUGCCAGUCCCCUUCAUACAAAA